GUGCCAGCAGCCGCGGUAAUACGUAGGUGGCAAGCGUUGUCCGGAUUUAUUGGGUUUAAAGGGUGCGUAGGCGGCCCUGUAAGUCAGUGGUGAAAUACUCUAGCUUAACUAGAGGGGUGCCAUUGAUACUGCAGGGCUUGAGUACAGACGAGGUAGGCGGAAUUGACGGUGUAGCGGUGAAAUGCAUAGAUAUCGUCAAGAACUCCGAUAGUGAAGACAGCUUACUAGGCUGUAACUGACGCUGAGGCACGAAAGUGUGGGGAUCAAACAGGAUUAGAAACCCUUGUAGUCC
RNAcentral lists this ribosomal RNA (292 nucleotides) under uncultured bacterium. RNAcentral's name for it is "partial 16S ribosomal RNA". It matches the Rfam family "Bacterial small subunit ribosomal RNA", at positions 505 to 796 of the family's 1533-position model. The record is from RNAcentral.